GGUCAAGAGCGCCAGCGUCAAGCCCCGGCUCGCUGGCCGGCAACCCUCCUCCGCGGUGGGGUGCUCCGGGUGACGACCAGGCCGCCGUGCAACCACGGCCGGCAAGCGCGGACC
RNAcentral lists this non-coding RNA (114 nucleotides) under Pseudonocardia sp. RNAcentral's name for it is "SAM-IV sequence". It matches the Rfam family "SAM (S-adenosyl methionine) riboswitch aptamer". Rfam says of the family: SAM-IV is a mRNA element that regulates gene expression via direct sensing of S-adenosylmethionine (SAM or AdoMet). SAM-IV riboswitches share conserved nucleotide positions with the previously described SAM-I riboswitches sequence analysis and molecular recognition experiments suggest that SAM-I and SAM-IV riboswitches share similar ligand binding sites, but have different scaffolds. RNAcentral also lists the same sequence under 2 other names. Lineage: Bacteria; Bacillati; Actinomycetota; Actinomycetes; Pseudonocardiales; Pseudonocardiaceae. The record is from RNAcentral.